RNAcentral lists this transfer RNA (72 nucleotides) under Rickettsiaceae bacterium. Its description in RNAcentral is "tRNA-Trp". It matches the Rfam family "tRNA". Rfam says of the family: Transfer RNA (tRNA) molecules are approximately 80 nucleotides in length. Their secondary structure includes four short double-helical elements and three loops (D, anti-codon, and T loops). Lineage: Bacteria; Pseudomonadati; Pseudomonadota; Alphaproteobacteria; Rickettsiales; Rickettsiaceae. The record is from RNAcentral.
AGGAGCAUAGCACAGCAGGCAGUGCACUGGUCUCCAACGCUAGAGGUUGAGGUUCGAGUCCUCAUGCUCCUG